AGUGAACGCUGGCGGUAGGCCUAACACAUGCAAGUCGAACGGCAGCACAGUAAGAGCUUGCUCUUACGGGUGGCGAGUGGCGGACGGGUGAGGAAUACAUCGGAAUCUACUUUUUCGUGGGGGAUAACGUAGGGAAACUUACGCUAAUACCGCAUACGACCUACGGGUGAAAGCAGGGGAUCUUCGGACCUUGCGCGAUUGAAUGAGCCGAUGUCGGAUUAGCUAGUUGGCGGGGUAAAGGCCCACCAAGGCGACGAUCCGUAGCUGGUCUGAGGGGAUGAUCAGCCACACUGGAACUGAGACACGGUCCAGACUCCUACGGGAGGCAGCAGUGGGGAAUAUUGGACAAUGGGCGCAAGCCUGAUCCAGCCAUACCGCGUGGGUGAAGAAGGCCUUCGGGUUGUAAAGCCCUUUUGUUGGGAAAGGAAAGCAGCAGGUUAAUACCCCGCUGUUCUGACGGUACCCAAAGAAUAAGCACCGGCUAACUUCGUG
RNAcentral lists this ribosomal RNA (492 nucleotides) under uncultured bacterium. RNAcentral's name for it is "partial 16S ribosomal RNA". It matches the Rfam family "Bacterial small subunit ribosomal RNA", at positions 29 to 507 of the family's 1533-position model. The record is from RNAcentral.